This 428-nucleotide ribosomal RNA is filed under the name uncultured bacterium. Its description in RNAcentral is "bacterial SSU rRNA". It matches the Rfam family "Bacterial small subunit ribosomal RNA", at positions 28 to 420 of the family's 1533-position model. The record is from RNAcentral.
GACGAACGCUGGCGGCGUGCCUAAUACAUGCAAGUCGAACGCACUCUCGUUUAGAUUGAAGGAGCUUGCUCCUGAUUGAUAAACAUUUGAGUGAGUGGCGGACGGGUGAGUAACACGUGGGUAACCUGCCCUAAAGUGGGGGAUAACAUUUGGAAACAGAUGCUAAUACCGCAUAAAACCUAAACACCGCAUGGUGUAGGGUUGAAAGAUGGUUUCGGCUAUCACUUUAGGAUGGACCCGCGGUGCAUUAGUUAGUUGGUGAGGUAAAGGCUCACCAAGACCGUGAUGCAUAGCCGACCUGAGAGGGUAAUCGGCCACACUGGGACUGAGACACGGCCCAGACUCCUACGGGAGGCAGCAGUAGGGAAUCUACCACAAUAGGACGAAAGUCUGAUGGAGCAACGCCGCGUGAGUGAAGAAGGUUUCGG